CCUACGGGAGGCUGCAGUGAGGAAUAUUGGUCAAUGGGCGGGAGCCUGAACCAGCCAAGUCGCGUGAGGGACGACGGUCCUAUGGAUUGUAAACCUCUUUUGUCGGGGAACAAAGGCGUCCACGGGUGGGCGGAUGAGUGUACCCGAAGAAAAAGCAUCGGCUAACUCCGUGCCAGCAGCCGCGGUAAUACGGAGGAUGCGAGCGUUAUCCGGAUUUAUUGGGUUUAAAGGGAGCGUAGAUGGGUUGUUAAGUCAGUUGUGAAAGUUUGCGGCUCAACCGUAAAAUUGCAAUUGAUACUGGCAGUCUUGAGUACAGUUGAGGUAGGCGGAAUUCGUGGUGUAGCGGUGAAAUGCAUAGAUAUCACGCAGAACUCCGAUUGCGAAGGCAGCAUACCGGCGCCCGACUGACGCUGAGGCACGAAAGCGUGGGGAUCGAACAGGAUUAGAUACCCUUGUAGUC
Molecule: ribosomal RNA, 460 nt
Filed under: uncultured bacterium
Lineage: Bacteria
Description: partial 16S ribosomal RNA
Rfam family: Bacterial small subunit ribosomal RNA
Source: RNAcentral